This 99-nucleotide signal recognition particle RNA is filed under the name Lentisphaeria bacterium. RNAcentral describes it as "signal recognition particle sRNA small type". It matches the Rfam family "Bacterial small signal recognition particle RNA". Rfam says of the family: The signal recognition particle (SRP) is a universally conserved ribonucleoprotein involved in the co-translational targeting of proteins to membranes. Lineage: Bacteria; Pseudomonadati; Lentisphaerota; Lentisphaeria. The record is from RNAcentral.
UGCCAAGCCCCGCGUGGCGGAUCAAUUAUGAACCGGGUCAGGUCUGGAAGGAAGCAGCCCUAAGUGAGCGGUCCGGGUAUUCGGGAUCCCUUGGUCUCA